UCAAUCGUCUUGUGUUUAAUCAACGCUUCUAACGUUUAAUUAAAAAAUCGCCGUCUCGGUUUUAAUGUAAAUAAAUUCACUCAGAUAAAUAUUAUUAAAAAAAAUAUCCCUAAGUGAAUAUUUUAUGAAUGCUGUCUUCGAAAAGUUUAAGAAUAGAAUUCUGUGAUAAAAUCUUGGCAGCAAUAGAUUAUUUUAAUCUUUUAAAUAAUCACAAACAAUUGAAAAUUGAUAAGAACUGUCAGCAAUUUGAUGUGUUUGAUCUAUGCAAAGAUUGCUUGAAUAUGUCUGCUUUACCUCAAGGAGCCUUUGCCGCUUGUAAAAUGCGCGAAUAUGAUCUGACUAUUUCACGACGUCGUACAAACGCUGAUAAUAAGGAAAUCGAAAAUUUAAGUGGCAACAAAAAACUUAUGGAAUAUAAUCCCUUUAAAUACAAUGAAAAGCUAAUGAAUUCUAUUUGGAGUAUUUACAAUCGCUAUUCGCCUCAUAACAUCAAAAACAACGUAUUUAAUGAUAAUGACUAUGAGCAGCAGUCAAAUACUUAACUAGAUGUUCCAAGUCGAUGAGAGCCUUGAGUUUAUCUGACUUAUUGGCAGCUAGCCGAGAAAGGUUCUGAAUCGAUUUAGAUUUAGUUUAGACCUCAGGUACGUUUGUCAUCGAUUAUUAGAAAUCCAUAGUCGAUUAAUGCCUUGACUUUAUCAGACUUGCUGGCAGCUGAUCGACGAGAAGGGUUGUGAGUGAAUUUAGUUUAACCUUCCCAUACGUUCGUCUUCGAUUAUUUAAAGCCUCGAUGAGAGCCUUGAUUUUAUCUAAGUUGCCAGCAGCUGGCCGAUGAGAAAGAAAGGGUCUGAGUCGAUUUAGUUUUGUUCUCCAGUACGUUUGUCAUCGAUUGUUGGAAAUCUCGUUGUUACAAGAAUUAAGAAAAAGCCAACAAAAUUGUCGAUUUUAGAUCGAAUUUGAGAACUGGAGGGCCUGCAAUGGCUAAACGAAUAUUAUUAUUAUCAAAUAACGAUUUUAAAUUUUGAUGCCGUUAUAUGUUCACUCUUCUAAUUAUGGAUGGCAGAAAUAUUGUUUACUUUUUACCAAUUUUUUAAAUAAUAUUUCCAGUGAGUUGUUAUAGUGGCUUCUGCCAUAGUUUGCUUUGCCGAUCCCAAAAUUAAUCUUAUUGUUUAUAAAUUAGAUUUAAAAUAUAUUUAACUAGACUUUUUUUUAUUAUUAUUAAUUGCAAUCCGUACUGUGACUCGGCCAUGUUCCUAUGCCUUCAAUUUUAUGGAUCUCGUCACCUUCUUUCCUUUGGAGGAUCAAGCCGCGUCUGGCGUUAUCAAGUGCUCGCCAAACACUUGGUACUUGAUUCUGCAGAUGGCCUCACAUUUCUACAAAAUAUGAGGGGACGCAUUACUCGUCCCCUGGCAGAAACUGCAUGGAUCGGUAUUGAAGAUACUCCUGUUUUCCCGGCUAUGGCGGAAGAUUUGAUGAAUCUUUUUGCUUACGGUUGUCCUGCACAGUGCUUCCAAUAGAUCGCUUCCUCCUAGUUCGUGUAGUUUAUGUGCUAUGGCGGAAGGUUUGAUGAACCUUUUUGCUUACGGUUGUCCUGCACAGUGCUUCCAAUGGCCAAAAGAUUUAUGACUUAUCGUGAUCCUUUGGUGCCUCCUUCUUUCACUUAUAUUACUUAAUGACUGCCUGUUCUCAGCCCAUUGCCUAUACUACAGCUGCGAUGGGCUCAGCCACGAUCAACGAUCAAACGAGUGCUAACGACAAU
RNA transcript from Glossina fuscipes, 1756 nucleotides. RefSeq lists it as uncharacterized. The transcript has 5 exons. The record is from RefSeq and is a predicted model, not a curated record. NCBI's taxonomy places the organism in Eukaryota, Metazoa, Arthropoda, Insecta, Diptera, Glossinidae.